This 928-nucleotide long non-coding RNA is filed under the name Nicotiana benthamiana. Its description in RNAcentral is "long non-coding RNA (NBEN_LNC029597)". Lineage: Eukaryota; Viridiplantae; Streptophyta; Magnoliopsida; Solanales; Solanaceae. The record is from RNAcentral.
UAUACCAGAGCACAUGCGACACCUAGAUGCAUGAUUAAGACUGAUCUCCAAAAAGCCCAUGAUUCAGUUGAAUGGAUCUUCUUACAACAGACUAUGGAGGAUAUUGGCUUCCUAAGCAGAUUUACCAACUGGAUUAUGGAAUGUAUUAAGAUAGUGAGAUAUUCAGUACUGGUCAAUGGAGAGGCAACAGAACCCUUUGAUGCUGCUAGAGGACUUAGGCAAGGGGAUCCAAAUUUUCCCCUUUUUAUUUGCCUUAGUCAUGGAGUACUUGAGUAGAUCUUGCAAUGAACUAAAGAAAGACCCAGCUUUCCAGUUCCAUCCUAGAUGCAAACAGCUAGGAAUUACUCACAUGUGUUUUGCUCUAAGCAGAUCUUGUAAUGGACUAAAGAAAGACCCAGCAUUUCAGUUCCAUCCUAGAUGCAAAAAGCUAGGAUUUACUCACAUGUGUUUUGCUGAUGACCUGUUACUGUUUGCUAAAGGAGAGAUUGCAUCUAUCAGAGGCAUAUUCACAUGUUUCUCACAGUUCUCUGAAGCCUCUGGUCUGCAGGAAAACCUGAGCAAAAGCUCAGUAUAUUUUGGAGGUGUGUCACUGGUUAAUGCAGAAACAGAUUAUAGAUCACUUGGGUUUUGUUCAUGGGGAGCUUCCUUUCAAAUAUCUAGGUGUACCUCUUUCCACCAAGAAGAUUGCCUUGGUUCAAUGGCAGCCUUUUGUGGAGAGGAUUACUGCCAAGAUUACUUCUUGGACUGCCAAGAAAUUAUCUUACAGUGGAAGGAUUCAACUUGUCCAAUCUGUCCUAUUUGGCAUUCAAGCUUACUGGGCACAUAUAUUUAUUCUUCCUGCUAAAAUACUUAAGAUGAUUGAAGCUAUUUGCAGAAGUUUUGUCUGGUCUGGGAUAAAUUCCAUCACUAAGAAAGCCUAUGUCUCCUG